Molecule: ribosomal RNA, 439 nt
Filed under: uncultured bacterium
Lineage: Bacteria
Description: partial 16S ribosomal RNA
Rfam family: Bacterial small subunit ribosomal RNA
Source: RNAcentral
CUACGGGUUGCUGCAGUGAGGAAUAUUGCACAAUGGGGGGAACCCUGAUGCAGCAACGCCGCGUGGAGGAUGACGCAUUUCGGUGUGUAAACUCCUUUUAUAUGUCAAGAAAAUGACGGUAGCAUAUGAAUAAGCGCCGGCUAACUCCGUGCCAGCAGCCGCGGUAAUACGGAGGGCGCAAGCGUUACUCGGAAUCACUGGGCGUAAAGGACGCGUAGGCGGGAUUGUAAGUCAGGUGUGAAAGCCUAUGGCUCAACCAUAGAAUUGCACUUGAAACUACAAACCUAGAGUAUGGGAGGGGCAGAUGGAAUUAGUGGUGUAGGGGUAAAAUCCGUAGAUAUCACUAGGAAUACCGAAAGCGAAGGCGAUCUGCUGGAACAUUACUGACGCUGAGGCGUGAAAGCGUGGGGAGCAAACAGGAUUAGAUACCCCAGUAGUC